AGCAUUUCCUUCGCCUUCUGGAGAAUACAAAGGAUUUGAAUAUGCUCAACACUACUGAAUGACAUGAAGAGCUUCGGACAGUGUUGGAUUAAUGCGUCUGCAGUACAAAACUUCUUUCAUCAAGUCCUUAACAUAUCCUGAAAAGCAAAUCAUUAUUUAUGUUGGCUUUGCAUUGCACUUUGAGAAAA
Long non-coding RNA from Xenia sp. Carnegie-2017, 188 nucleotides. RefSeq lists it as uncharacterized. The record is from RefSeq and is a predicted model, not a curated record. The transcript has 2 exons. Lineage: Eukaryota; Metazoa; Cnidaria; Anthozoa; Malacalcyonacea; Xeniidae.